AUUGAACGCUGGCGGCAGGCCUAACACACGCAAGUCGAACGGUAACAGGAAGAAGCUUGCUUCUUUGCUGACGAGUGGCGGACGGGUGAGUAAUGUCUGGGAAACUGCCUGAUGGAGGGGGAUAACUACUGGAAACGGUAGCUAAUACCGCAUAACGUCGCAAGACCAAAGAGGGGGACCUUCGGGCCUCUUGCCAUCGGAUGUGCCCAGAUGGGAUUAGCUAGUAGGUGGGGUAACGGCUCACCUAGGCGACGAUCCCUAGCUGGUCUGAGAGGAUGACCAGCCACACUGGAACUGAGACACGGUCCAGACUCCUACGGGAGGCAGCGGUGGGGAAUAUUGCACAAUGGGCGCAAGCCUGAUGCAGCCAUGCCGCGUGUAUGAAGAAGGCCUUCGGGUUGUAAAGUACUUUCAGCGGGGAGGAAGGGAGUAAAGUUAAUACCUUUGCUCAUUGACGUUACCCGCAGAAGAAGCACCGGCUAACUCCGUG
RNAcentral lists this ribosomal RNA (490 nucleotides) under uncultured bacterium. RNAcentral's name for it is "partial 16S ribosomal RNA". It matches the Rfam family "Bacterial small subunit ribosomal RNA", at positions 30 to 507 of the family's 1533-position model. The record is from RNAcentral.